RNAcentral lists this ribosomal RNA (497 nucleotides) under uncultured bacterium. RNAcentral describes it as "partial 16S ribosomal RNA". It matches the Rfam family "Bacterial small subunit ribosomal RNA", at positions 28 to 507 of the family's 1533-position model. The record is from RNAcentral.
GAUGAACGCUGGCGGCGUGCCUAAUACAUGCAAGUCGAGCGAACAGAUGAGGAGCUUGCUCCUCUGACGUUAGCGGCGGACGGGUGAGUAACACGUGGAUAACCUACCUAUAAGACUGGGAUAACUUCGGGAAACCGGAGCUAAUACCGGAUAAUAUAUUGAACCGCAUGGUUCAAUAGUGAAAGACGGUUUUGCUGUCACUUAUAGAUGGAUCCGCGCCGCAUUAGCUAGUUGGUAAGGUAACGGCUUACCAAGGCAACGAUGCGUAGCCGACCUGAGAGGGUGAUGGGCCACACUGGAACUUAGACACGGUCCAGACUCCUACGGGAGGCAGCAGUAGGGAAUCUUCCGCAAUGGGCGAAAGCCUGACGGAGCAACGCCGCGUGAGUGAUGAAGGUCUUCGGAUCGUAAAACUCUGUUAUUAGGGAAGAACAAAUGUGUAAGUAACUAUGCACGUCUUGACGGUACCUAAUCAGAAAGCCACGGCUAACUACGUG